GUUUCUCCUUAAAGAACAAUUUGCCACACACAUACGCACAAAUCCAUAGAUAUCAGAUCCAGAUGGAGGAGAUAUCAGAGACGGCUAAAGCAUACUACGCAAACUUGUCAGAAAAGCAGAAGCGAUUAGCAACCGAUCUUUUCCGAUCAAUAGAUACGAAUGGAGAUGGAGAAAUCAGUUUCGAGGAAUAUCAGCAAUACCUUAAGCAGAAGGGCUUUAAAACAAUUGCUUCUCCCGACUUCUUUAGAAAGCUAGACCGGAACGGAAAUGGCAGCUUGGAUUUCGAUGAAUUCGUGACUGUGCACUACAUAUAUUCAAGCGAAAGAGUUUUUGUUUGUGAUGAGUGUAGAGCGUAUCUUGAUGGAGUUUACUUUACUUGCGUUCAAUGCUUCGAUGGUCCUGGUAAUACCUAUGAUCUUUGUUGUGGUUGUUAUCGAGAUAAAAAUAUCAAUCAUCAUAAGGAUGCUUUGUUCCUUGAUAAUUACACAUUGCUACAAGCCAAGAGGCAUCAGAAUAAAAAGGGUCAGGUAAUUAAAUUAGUAACAAUUAUCAGCAGUUUGAAAUUGAAUCUUGUUCAAAACAUCAAUAUAUAUGAGCUUCUUGGAAUUAGCUAUAAUUAUAAACAAGCUCUCUCUAUUCUCUUAAUUUUUUUCUUUGCAGGGCAAAAAUAGAGGAUCCUUAGAGGCCGCAAUUGCUGGUAUGGAAACUACAUCCAAUCUCAUCAACUUAUGCAGCCAAAUGUAACCCGGCAAGCCCUUCCGUCUCUUUUUUUGAGUAGUAUUUUUCAAUUUUAUUUAGAAAAAAAGUUGUCUUUAAAAUUUAAAGG
This 826-nucleotide unclassified non-coding RNA is filed under the name Hevea brasiliensis (rubber tree). Lineage: Eukaryota; Viridiplantae; Streptophyta; Magnoliopsida; Malpighiales; Euphorbiaceae. The record is from RNAcentral.